This is an RNA transcript of Xenopus laevis (African clawed frog), 1235 nucleotides long. It is a transcript of the gene named non-homologous end joining factor 1 S homeolog, with no coding region annotated. NCBI's taxonomy places the organism in Eukaryota, Metazoa, Chordata, Amphibia, Anura, Pipidae. The record is from RefSeq and is a predicted model, not a curated record. The transcript has 8 exons.
AUACCACUAAUACUUAUGUACGGUACAUUCCAUUUGCAACAUCUAUUCACUUUCCCAAGCCUUGCAUUUAGCGUAUCUACCAGCAGGUGGCGCACUGACAUCUGCUGUAUUGACGAAACCCGGAACUAUUGUGUGUUUGUGUUUCUGGCCGGAAGGUGCAGCAGCUGGACCCGGAGAGAGCAGACACAGGACAUGUCUUUGUCGCAAGAAAUGGAUGCCCGACUCUUGCAGCUGCCCUGGAGGUCGCUCCGCAUCGCAGACUGUAUUUUUAUGGGCAAGGUUUGCUUUACAGAGUCCAGCUAUGCCUUGCUUCUAUCUGAUCUUAGCAGCAUGUGGUGUGAGGAAGCAAAGGCCGACAUAAUACAGGAUCGCGCAAGGGAACUGAACAAACGUCUGAAAGCCCCAGUCUCUUCUUUCCUAUCAUACUUGUCCCAGAUUGUCUUUCCUGUGCUGAACUCCAAGGAUAACGGGCAGAAUAUAUUCUCUUGUCACAGGUCAGAGGCGGAGUUGUUGCUGCAAGUCAAGAGUCAGCUUUCUGGCCUUCCCUUUUACUGGAGCUUCCACUGCAAGGAGGCCACAGUCAGCACGGUCUGCCGCCACCUUGUGCGCCCUCUGAAGUCCAUGACGGAGGCUCUAGAAAGCCAGAAUCAGGAGUUGUGUCUGCUGCUGAAGAAGAAAGAUGCCGAGAUUCAGGAAUAUCAGGACAGUGGAGCUGUGCUAACUCGAGAUCGCUUGAAAACUGAAGUCUUUGAUGAGCUGAAAUUCCAGAAAUCCUUCUUGGCAGAGAAAGUCCAAGGUCUGUGUAUGUCUGGGAAGGCUCCAGGAUUCAGUGAGCAGCUCCAGCAACUGUAUGACGCUGUUAUAGCGCCUAAGGCACCAACACAUCCCAAGGAAGAAGGUAAGAAAUUAAGAUACGGGAAACAGUGCCAGCCAUCGCCCCAUGGCUGAAUCCAGUAGCAUUUCAUUUGAGAAAACAGUACCAACACAGGAGAGAACAGAGGGAGGAGCGGUGUCAGAACCUUCUCAGGUGCCUCAAUCUUCUGUUUCCUGCCUGACCCAUCGGCCCCCAGCUGGAGCUUCCAAACCCAAAAAGAAGGCAAAGGGACUGUUUAUGUAAUCUUGCAGCCAUUGAUCACACUGUCACAUAUAAUAAGUGUGCCUGUGUCAGUAUAGAUUUUAAUCUUUAACCUUUAUAUAACGCACAUUUGUCAUGAUAAUAAAUUAUUUUUGCAUUA